Long non-coding RNA from Impatiens glandulifera, 290 nucleotides. RefSeq lists it as uncharacterized. Lineage: Eukaryota; Viridiplantae; Streptophyta; Magnoliopsida; Ericales; Balsaminaceae. The record is from RefSeq and is a predicted model, not a curated record. The transcript has 2 exons.
GGUAAUAUUGGUGGCCGGCCGGUGAUUAUAUUUGUUAAGGCGGUGCCGGAAAACUGAAAGAGGAAACUAUGGGACCAGGAGGAUGGGGACAGCCUCCGCCGCCGCCCCCGCCGGAGCCAGAUUGCUUUUGUGGCAUUUCUAAUUGCAUUUCUUCAUGCUUAAACUUCUUGUGCUGCUGUGGGCUGUUUGGUGACUGCUUUGGAGAAAGAAAACAUAUGUGAAAGAAGGAUAUGGUGUUUGGCUACUGAAUUUUUAAUGAAGAAAACAGAUCUAAAUUGAAUGAAAAAGAA